This 503-nucleotide ribosomal RNA is filed under the name uncultured bacterium. RNAcentral describes it as "partial 16S ribosomal RNA". It matches the Rfam family "Bacterial small subunit ribosomal RNA", at positions 30 to 523 of the family's 1533-position model. The record is from RNAcentral.
AUUGAACGCUGGCGGCAGGCUUAACACAUGCAAGUCGAGCGGAGUGAUGGUGCUUGCACUAUCACUUAGCGGCGGACGGGUGAGUAAUGCUUAGGAAUCUGCCUAUUAGUGGGGGACAACAUCUCGAAAGGGAUGCUAAUACCGCAUACGUCCUACGGGAGAAAGCAGGGGAUCGCUUGUGACCUUGCGCUAAUAGAUGAGCCUAAGUCGGAUUAGCUAGUUGGUGGGGUAAAGGCCUACCAAGGCGACGAUCUGUAGCGGGUCUGAGAGGAUGAUCCGCCACACUGGGACUGAGACACGGCCCAGACUCCUACGGGAGGCAGCAGUGGGGAAUAUUGGACAAUGGGGGGAACCCUGAUCCAGCCAUGCCGCGUGUGUGAAGAAGGCCUUAUGGUUGUAAAGCACUUUAAGCGAGGAGGAGGCUCUUUUGGUUAAUACCCAAGAUGAGUGGACGUUGCUCGCAGAAUAAGCACCGGCUAACUCUGUGCCAGCCGCCGCGGUAA